GCUUUUGUAGUUUGUGGAGGGGAGAAGGAAGAAUGUAUUUGUGUACUUUACUAACUACGGCAAAAGCAGUAGAGAACAGUAGAUAUUUUUUAAAAACCCACAUAAUAGGAAAAGAAGUCACCACCCUUCAAGCUUUGGUCAUAUUUAUAACGCACCAUAGUGUUCAAAUUCUGUGUGGUGUGUGCGUGUGUUUGUUGGGAGGGAGUGAUCUAACACAGGAACCAAACGUGGAUCACAGGUGAAGCACUUCCCUACCACAAGCAUGGGCUAGAAUUUGACCCCCUCCCCCAGCAUGGUAGUAUAUGUCUUUAAUAUGUGAAUUCUGGAGGCAGAUGUAGGUGGAUCUCUGAAUUGGUAGCCAAACUGGUCUACAUAAGGAGUUCUAGGCUAUCAAGAUUCAAAUAAAAGUAGAAAAUAGAAAUAAGAAUAGAAAAAUUAAAAUAGAAAAAAAAGGGGGGGGGGCAUCGACAAUUCUAGGGAGAGUCUAACCGAGAGAAACCACAACAUCUGGCCUGUAAAUGACAGGAAGGUAAAGCACUCUGGAGCCAUCCCCAGAUGUUGGAAUAUCCACACAUCACAUUGUUGGAUACUAGCUCAGCAUUUCAGGUCUUGUCUAAGGCUAAUUAAUAAAGCAGUCACCCAGCCCGGGUUCUCUGAGUGUUUUGAUAUAGUCAGGCCAUAUGCAGAAACCCACAGAAAGCUCACACCCCCUGGAGGAGCCUGCUGCUGCUAGUGCACUAAACUGGCAAAACAAACAAACAAACAAACAAACAAACAAACAAAACCCCACUCAGGACAGCUCAGCUGUGCUGCGAGAGACCACUCGUCACCACCAGCCGUCCCGUAGGACGUCCCGCCCCCACCUUAUGCAGGAGCAGCUGACUGGAGGAUCCCGAGAGGGGCACGCGGCGCAGCCAAUCGGAAGGGCGUGCCUUGCCCUGCCUCGCGGUUGACCUUGAGUCAUGUAGCCGGCUACUGUCGCGGUGCCGGCGCGUCUGCAGCGGAGCUAGAUGCAGGCGGUACCUGGGACAUGUCCUCGCUCGGGGACCAGCGUCCCGCGGCAGGGGAGCAGCCGGGAGCUAGACUGCACGUGCGGGCGACAGGAGGCGCGCUGCUACUUUGCCUGCUGGCGGUGCUGCUAGGCUGGGUUUGGCUGCGGCGGCAACGCGCCUGCGGCAUCCCUCCGGGGCCCAAGCCUCGGCCACUCGUGGGUAACUUCGGGCACUUGCUGGUGCCGCGCUUUCUACGACCGCAGUUCUGGCUGGGCUCGGGCAGCCAGACGGACACGGUGGGCCAGCAUGUGUACCUGGCCAGGAUGGCCCGUGUCUAUGGCAACAUCUUCAGCUUCUUCAUCGGCCACCGUCUGGUGGUGGUCCUCAGCGACUUCCACAGCGUGCGCGAGGCGCUAGUGCAGCAGGCUGAAGUGUUCAGUGACCGCCCGCGGAUGCCGCUCAUCUCCAUCAUGACCAAGGAGAAGGGAAUCGUGUUUGCACACUAUGGUCCAAUUUGGAAACAGCAGAGGAGAUUCUCCCACUCGACGCUUCGUCAUUUCGGUCUGGGCAAGCUCAGCCUGGAGCCCAGGAUCAUCGAGGAGUUUGCAUACGUGAAAGAAGCCAUGCAGAAGCACGGGGAGGCCCCCUUCAGCCCCUUCCCAAUCAUCAGCAAUGCCGUCUCCAACAUCAUCUGCUCCCUGUGCUUCGGCCAGCGCUUCGAUUACACCAACAAGGAGUUUAAAAAGGUGUUGGAUUUCAUGUCCCGGGGGUUGGAAAUCUGCCUGCACAGCCAGCUCUUCCUGAUCAACAUAUGCCCCUGGUUUUACUACCUCCCCUUUGGUCCAUUUAAGGAGCUAAGGCAAAUCGAAAGGGACAUAUCCUGCUUCCUGAAAAACAUCAUCCGAGAGCAUCAAGAGUCUCUGGAUGCCAGCAACCCUCAGGACUUCAUAGACAUGUACCUUCUGCACAUGGAGGAAGAGCAGGGAGCCAGCAGGCGCAGCAGCUUCGACGAGGACUACCUGUUCUACAUCAUUGGGGACCUCUUCAUCGCCGGCACUGACACCACGACCAACUCUCUGCUCUGGUGCCUGCUGUACAUGUCACUGAACCCCGACGUGCAAAGUAAUUGGUGCAUUUGUUCUUAACUCAGGGUAAAGGCAGGUUCUUUGAACCCAGUCACGGACUCUGUGAUCUGCUGGCCCCGGAGCACCCAUGUGUCCAGAAAAGGUUCAUGAAGAAAUUGAAAGGGUCAUUGGCUGUGACCGUGCACCUUCCCUCACGGACAAGGCCCAGAUGCCAUACACAGAGGCCACCAUCAUGGAGGUGCAGCGGCUGUCCAUGGUGGUGCCGCUCGCCAUUCCUCACAUGACCUCGGAGAAAACAGUCCUCCAAGGGUUCACCAUUCCCAAAGGCACAGUGGUCCUAAUCAACCUGUGGUCAGUACACAGAGACCCAGCCAUCUGGGAGAAGCCAGACGACUUCUGUCCUCAUCGAUUUCUGGAUGACCAAGGACAACUUUUGAAAAGAGAAACUUUUAUUCCUUUUGGGAUAGGGAAGCGGGUGUGUAUGGGAGAGCAGCUGGCCAAGAUGGAGUUAUUCCUGAUGUUCGUGAGCCUGAUGCAGACUUUCACCUUUGCGUUACCUGAGGGUUCCGAGAAGCCUGUCAUGACUGGGAGAUUUGGUCUAACACUGGCCCCGCACCCUUUUAAUGUAACCAUCUCAAAGAGAUGAAGAAGCCCCGAGAAGAGAGGCGCGGGCAGACUCCAUGUACUGGUCGGUCCUAGACAGCCUUCCUAUUGCUGCUGAGCAUGGGCCUCGCAGUUCGGCACAGCCAGGAGAGGCUGAGUGGUGCCCACUGGCCACGGGGAAGCAUGGACACUCGGUUUAGUUGUGUGGAUUCCAUCAGAAAGCAGUGCUUCUCAUCUCUCAGCCUCCGUCAUCCCAUGGUAAAAUGAGGUAAUGAAACGUCUCUCAACUCUGAGAGGAACUGGAUGCUUCAUGAAGUCUGUGCUGGUGGCAGAUGCUGGGCAAAUCAGUAGAUCUGCCUUCGGACCUCCCAAGGCCCCUCCCUGCAACAUCUAGUGUCAGCACGGACACUCGGUCAGAGAGGGAUGUAGGUCUAGGUUAUAUUGAAGUAGACCUUUUUUUUCCCCCAUACUUUUUUUUUCUUUUGUAUUUUUUUUUUCUGGCAUAGAUUCAAUGUCAGUUUCUUUGGGUUUGUCUUA
Molecule: RNA transcript, 3217 nt
Organism: Mus musculus (house mouse)
Lineage: Eukaryota; Metazoa; Chordata; Mammalia; Rodentia; Muridae
Gene: Cyp2u1
Gene name: cytochrome P450, family 2, subfamily u, polypeptide 1
Exons: 5
Source: RefSeq, marked validated